AUUGAACGCUGGCGGCAGGCCUAACACAUGCAAGUCGAACGAGUGGCGGACGGGUGAGUAAUGUCUGGGAAACUGCCUGAUGGAGGGGGAUAACUACUGGAAACGGUAGCUAAUACCGCAUACCAUCAGAUGUGCCCAGAUGGGAUUAGCUAGUUGGUGGGGUAACGGCUCACCAAGGCGCCGAUCCCUAGCUGGUCUGAGAGGAUGACCGGCCAGACUGGAACUGAGGCACGGCCCAGACUCCUACGGGAGGAAGCAGUGGGGAAUACUGCAGAAUGGGCGCAAGGCUGAUGCAGCCAUGCGGCGUGUAGGAAGAAGGCCUUAGGGUUGUAAAGUACAGUCAGCGGGGGGGCGUUACCCGAAGAAGAAGCACCGGCUAACUCCGUGCCAGCAGCCGCGGUAAUAC
This 406-nucleotide ribosomal RNA is filed under the name uncultured bacterium. RNAcentral's name for it is "partial 16S ribosomal RNA". It matches the Rfam family "Bacterial small subunit ribosomal RNA", at positions 29 to 526 of the family's 1533-position model. The record is from RNAcentral.